This 123-nucleotide transfer RNA is filed under the name Nonomuraea dietziae. Its description in RNAcentral is "tRNA-OTHER". The record is from RNAcentral. Lineage: Bacteria; Bacillati; Actinomycetota; Actinomycetes; Streptosporangiales; Streptosporangiaceae.
GGGUCCGGGUAGCUUCGCUGCGGUAGCCGUACGAGGUCGGCCCGCAGGUCGAGAGCACGCCCGAGGCGAUCUUGGCUCCUUACAAGCGAGGGGUCACUGGUUCGAUACCAGUACCGCCCACCA